RNAcentral lists this ribosomal RNA (1430 nucleotides) under uncultured bacterium. RNAcentral's name for it is "16S ribosomal RNA". It matches the Rfam family "Bacterial small subunit ribosomal RNA". The record is from RNAcentral.
AGAGUUUGAUCCUGGCUCAGGAUGAACGCUGGCGGCGUGCCUAAUACAUGCAAGUCGAGCGAGCUUGCCUAGAUGAUUUUAGUGCUUGCACUAAAUGAAACUAGAUACAAGCGAGCGGCGGACGGGUGAGUAACACGUGGGCAACCUGCCCAAAAGAGGGGGAUAACACUUGGAAACAGGUGCUAAUACCGCAUAACCAUAGUUACCGCAUGGUAACUAUGUAAAAGGUGGCUAUGCUACCGCUUUUGGAUGGGCCCGCGGCGCAUUAGCUAGUUGGUGAGGUAAAGGCUUACCAAGGCAAUGAUGCGUAGCCGAACUGAGAGGUUGAUCGGCCACAUUGGGACUGAGACACGGCCCAAACUCCUACGGGAGGCAGCAGUAGGGAAUCUUCCACAAUGGGCGAAAGCCUGAUGGAGCAACGCCGCGUGGGUGAAGAAGGUCUUCGGAUCGUAAAACCCUGUUGUUAGAAAAGAAAGUGCGUGAGAGUAACUGUUCACGUUUCGACGGUAUCUAACCAGAAAGCCACGGCUAACUACGUGCCAGCAGCCGCGGUAAUACGUAGGUGGCAAGCGUUAUCCGGAUUUAUUGGGCGUAAAGGGAACGCAGGCGGUCUUUUAAGUCUGAUGUGAAAGCCUUCGGCUUAACCGGAGUAGUGCAUUGGAAACUGGGAGACUUGAGUGCAGAAGAGGAGAGUGGAACUCCAUGUGUAGCGGUGAAAUGCGUAGAUAUAUGGAAGAACACCAGUGGCGAAAGCGGCUCUCUGGUCUGUAACUGACGCUGAGGUUCGAAAGCGUGGGUAGCAAACAGGAUUAGAUACCCUGGUAGUCCACGCCGUAAACGAUGAAUGCUAAGUGUUGGAGGGUUUCCGCCCUUCAGUGCUGCAGCUAACGCAAUAAGCAUUCCGCCUGGGGAGUACGACCGCAAGGUUGAAACUCAAAGGAAUUGACGGGGGCCCGCACAAGCGGUGGAGCAUGUGGUUUAAUUCGAAGCAACGCGAAGAACCUUACCAGGUCUUGACAUCUUCUGACAAUCCUAGAGAUAGGACUUUCCCUUCGGGGACAGAAUGACAGGUGGUGCAUGGUUGUCGUCAGCUCGUGUUGUGAGAUGUUGGGUUAAGUCCCGCAACGAGCGCAACCCUUAUUGUUAGUUGCCAGCAUUAAGUUGGGCACUCUAGCAAGACUGCCGGUGACAAACCGGAGGAAGGUGGGGAUGACGUCAAAUCAUCAUGCCCCUUAUGACCUGGGCUACACACGUGCUACAAUGGACGGUACAACGAGAAGCGAACCUGCGAAGGCAAGCGGAUCUCUUAAAGCUGUUCUCAGUUCGGACUGUAGGCUGCAACUCGCCUACACGAAGCUGGAAUCGCUAGUAAUCGCGGAUCAGCACGCCGCGGUGAAUACGUUCCCGGGCCUUGUACACACCGCCCGUCA